Long non-coding RNA from Clupea harengus (Atlantic herring), 1012 nucleotides. Lineage: Eukaryota; Metazoa; Chordata; Actinopteri; Clupeiformes; Clupeidae. The record is from Ensembl.
GGAAGAAGGAAAGAAGAAAAGAAAGAAGAGUGAAAGAAGGAAAGAAGAAAGGAAAGAAGAGUGGAAGAAGGAAAGAAGAAAAUAAAGGAGAGUGAAGAAAGGAAAGAUGAGUGGAAGAAGGAAAGAAGAAAAGAAAGAAGUGGGAAAGAAGAAAGGAAAGAAGAGUGAAAGAAGGAAAGAAGAAAGGAAAGAAGAGUGGAAGAAGGAAAGAAGAAAAGAAAGAAGGAAAGACUGUAAGAAGGAAAGAAGAAAGGAAAAAAGAGUGGAAGAAGGCAAGAAGAGUGGAAGAAGGAAAGAAGAAAGGAGUGGAAGAAAGAAAGAAGAAAGGAAAGAAGAGUGAACAAGAGUGGCUCUGCAAGACAGUAAAGAGAGAGUGAAGAGGGAAAAUAUUGAAAGAAGGAGUGAAAAUGGAGUGAAGCAGAGAGAUGGAGUGUGAGAGAAAGUAGAGUGAGAGGGAUAGAGAGAAAGAUGGAGAGAAAAAGAAGUAGAGUAUGGAAGGUGUCUCUUAAUAUUCCUAGUUAUACAGUUGAAUGGAGAGGGACAGAGAGAAGAGGAGCCUUGGAACCUUGGCGCAGGUGUCAGUGAAGCACAGGUGCAAGCCAGUUUAAUUACCCUAUUAUGAUGUCAUAAUGGCCCAAUGUAAGUCAAUGGGAAAAUUUGUAUUAGUUUUUCUUUAAUAUCCUAAAAAGUAUAAAGUUUAGUGGAGACUAGUGUGGAGACUAGGGUGUAGGCAUGGGUGUAGAAAAGGGUGGAGGCACGGGUGGAGACUAGGGUGGAGAUAUUAAGUUUAGAAAAGUGAAAAAUACAUAGCAUAAGUGUCGUUUACAAGACAUACGCGACAAAGUUUGAACGGAGUUUCUAAGUUCGGUUCGAGCUGAAUUAAUCGCAGAAGUCGGUAAGAAGAAGAAGAAGUAUAAGAAGCCUAGGAAUAACAAUACAGGGCAUUUCAUGCACUGUAAUUAAAAACACAGACAUAUAAAAUAUCAACACAAACAACAUCACAACAACAAAC